This 510-nucleotide ribosomal RNA is filed under the name uncultured bacterium. RNAcentral describes it as "bacterial SSU rRNA". It matches the Rfam family "Bacterial small subunit ribosomal RNA", at positions 32 to 517 of the family's 1533-position model. The record is from RNAcentral.
AAUCAACGCUGGCGGCGUGCCUCAGACAUGCAAGUCGAACGCGAAAGUCCCCUUCGGGGGACAAGUAGAGUGGCGCACGGGUGAGUAACACGUAGGUAAUCUACCUUCGGGUGGGGAAUAACGCAGGGAAACUUGCGCUAAUACCGCAUAAUGCAGCGGCACCACAUGGUGACAGUUGUUAAAGCGGGGGAUUUUCGGACCUCGCGCCUGAAGAGGAGCCUGCGGCAGAUUAGCUAGUUGGUAAGGUAACGGCUUACCAAGGCGACGAUCUGUAGCCGGCCUGAGAGGGCGGUCGGCCACACUGACACUGACAUACGGGUCAGACUCCUACGGGAGGCAGCAGUCGGGAAUUUUGGGCAAUGGGCGAAAGCCUGACCCAGCAACGCCGCGUGAAGGACGAAAUCCCUCGGGAUGUAAACUUCGCAAGAAUAGGAAGAAUGAACGAGCGCUAACACCGUUCGUGAUGACGGUACUAUUUGUAAGCUCCGGCUAACUCCGUGCCAGCAGCCG